Molecule: ribosomal RNA, 107 nt
Filed under: Bacteroides fragilis str. 3976T8
Lineage: Bacteria; Pseudomonadati; Bacteroidota; Bacteroidia; Bacteroidales; Bacteroidaceae
Source: RNAcentral
GGUGACUAUAGCAUCAGGGUUCCACCUCUUCCCAUUCCGAACAGAGAAGUUAAGCCUGAUCACGCCGAUGGUACUGCGUAACAGUGGGAGAGUGGUAGUCGCCGUUU